GAUGAACGCUGACGGCGUGCCUAAUACAUGCAAGUCGAGCGAACGGACGAGAAGCUUGCUUCUCUGAUGUUAGCGGCGGACGGGUGAGUAACACGUGGAUAACCUACCUAUAAGACUGGGAUAACUUCGGGAAACCGGAGCUAAUACCGGAUAAUAUUUUGAACCGCAUGGUUCAAAAGUGAAAGACGGUCUUGCUGUCACUUAUAGAUGGAUCCGCGCUGCAUUAGCUAGUUGGUAAGGUAACGGCUUACCAAGGCAACGAUGCAUAGCCGACCUGAGAGGGUGAUCGGCCACACUGGAACUGAGACACGGUCCAGACUCCUACGGGAGGCAGCAGUAGGGAAUCUUCCGCAAUGGGCGAAAGCCUGACGGAGCAACGCCGCGUGAGUGAUGAAGGUCUUCGGAUCGUAAAACUCUGUUAUUAGGGAAGAAUAUAUGUGUAAGUAACUGUGCACAUCUUGACGGUACCUAAUCAGAAAGCCACGGCUAACUACGUG
This 497-nucleotide ribosomal RNA is filed under the name uncultured bacterium. RNAcentral's name for it is "partial 16S ribosomal RNA". It matches the Rfam family "Bacterial small subunit ribosomal RNA", at positions 28 to 507 of the family's 1533-position model. The record is from RNAcentral.